This 63-nucleotide transfer RNA is filed under the name Oedionychus cinctus. RNAcentral describes it as "tRNA-Cys". Lineage: Eukaryota; Metazoa; Arthropoda; Insecta; Coleoptera; Chrysomelidae. The record is from RNAcentral.
AGUCUUAUAGUCAAAUAUGAUAUUAAAUUGCAAAUUUAAUGGUAAAUAUAAAUUUUAAGGCUU